GGGAGGACUUACCUCCGACCCGGUACAUGUUGGCAGCCAUGCCCGGGCUGGGGAGGGGUCUGGGUCGCUCCCGCCGCCGCUGCCUCCAGGCCUGACCAAGAUGGAGCUCUGGCUGAAAGAGAACUGACUACAUCACAAUCCUGAUGAGAUGGAAGAAAAAGGAAAGCAUUAAAAUGCAUCUCCUACAACUGUCCUUCAGCCUCCAACUGCCUGGCUUUCUGCUACAGAUUUAAGGAAACAUAUCCUCACAUUUUCCCCCAGCGUAAACAAGGAGGAGGAGCCAACACCAUGUGACCUGCCACCUCAUCAUUUACUGCUAGCAAGUGCCCAGUGACCACUGUUUUGAGAAUCUUUGGGAGGAUUUUUCUGUGCAGUU
Molecule: long non-coding RNA, 376 nt
Organism: Chelonoidis abingdonii (Abingdon island giant tortoise)
Lineage: Eukaryota; Metazoa; Chordata; Testudines; Testudinidae
Source: RefSeq, a predicted model, not a curated record